This 906-nucleotide ribosomal RNA is filed under the name uncultured bacterium. Its description in RNAcentral is "bacterial SSU rRNA". It matches the Rfam family "Bacterial small subunit ribosomal RNA", at positions 8 to 916 of the family's 1533-position model. The record is from RNAcentral.
AGAGUUUGAUCCUGGCUCAGGACGAACGCUGGCGGCGUGCUUAACACAUGCAAGUCGAGCGGAAAGGCCCCUUCGGGGGUACUCGAGCGGCGAACGGGUGAGUAACACGUGAGUAACCUGCCCUCGACUCUGGGAUAAGCCUGGGAAACUGGGUCUAAUACCGGAUAUUCACCUCCUGUCGCAUGGUGGGGGGUGGAAAGUUCCCUCUUUUUGGGGGUUCGGUCGGGGAUGGGCUCGCGGCCUAUCAGCUUGUUGGUGGGGUGACGGCCUACCAAGGCGACGACGGGUAGCCGGCCUGAGAGGGCGACCGGCCACACUGGGACUGAGACACGGCCCAGACUCCUACGGGAGGCAGCAGUGGGAAAUCUUGCGCAAUGGGCGAAAGCCUGACGCAGCGACGCCGCGUGGGGGAUGAAGGCCUUCGGGUUGUAAACCCCUUUCAGCACCGACGAAUGAAGGACGGUAGGUGCAGAAGAAGCGCCGGCUAACUACGUGCCAGCAGCCGCGGUAAUACGUAGGGCGCGAGCGUUGUCCGGAAUUAUUGGGCGUAAAGAGCUCGUAGGCGGCUUGUCGCGUCUGUCGUGAAAGCCCACGGCUUAACCGUGGGUUUGCGGUGGAUACGGGCAGGCUAGAGGCAGGUAGGGGAGCAUGGAAUUCCCGGUGUAGCGGUGAAAUGCGCAGAUAUCGGGAGGAACACCGGUGGCGAAGGCGGUGCUCUGGGCCUGUUCUGACGCUGAGGAGCGAAAGCGUGGGGGAGCGAACAGGAUUAGAUACCCUGAUAGUCCACGCCGUAAACGUUGGGCGCUAGGUGUGGGGUUCUUCCACGGAUUCCGCGCCGUAGCUAACGCAUUAAGCGCCCCGCCUGGGGAGUACGGCCGCAAGGCUAAAACUCAAAUGAAUUGACGG